This is a long non-coding RNA of Fundulus heteroclitus (mummichog), 1527 nucleotides long. RefSeq lists it as uncharacterized. NCBI's taxonomy places the organism in Eukaryota, Metazoa, Chordata, Actinopteri, Cyprinodontiformes, Fundulidae. The transcript is spliced from 3 exons. The record is from RefSeq and is a predicted model, not a curated record.
UAAGAAGAGACGAGGCAAAUUUUAAAAUCCUUCGUGGCAGCACUUACAUCUGCAGUCAGCACUUCUCUUCAGAGGAGACCUACGUUUCUGCAAGUGGUCGAAAGAAGUUAAAGAAGGGAGCAGUACCAUCUAAAUUCCCGUGGAAUGAUUGGGGCAAAGGAAGAGGUGAGCAAUCUGCAAAGCGAUGCCUGUUCCAGGGAGCAGCACAGAGGAUUGAUCCCACCUGGAGGCAGUGCAAAAUGAUCAUGACUACAGCUGCCAUCCCUCUCCUGGUAAAAUGGACAGAGCUGCUAGGAAGAUUCAGCAGUUGGAGGUGGAAAUCUUGACACUUCAACACAAAAUCCAGCAGCUGACAUUUAAAAAUCAGGAGCCAUUAAUUUAAAAAAUUUUGUCUGACCGACAAGGACUACCAUUACUACACAAGAUUCAGCUCCAAGAAGGUCUUCACUCUGUUUUGGGUGGCUGUUAACCCGUCUGCAUCAAGGCUUAUUUAUUGGUCCAAAGCACAGCAUGCAGCAGAAGUGACAGCAAGUCCACAGCAAAAGCUUGAACUGAUUGAUAAACUGUUCAUGUUUCUCUGUUGUGUUGCAGCUGGGCUGCAGGAGAGGACAUUGUCAUCUCUCUUUGAGGUCAGCUUGUCGUCUGUUAGUCGCAUCAUCCUUACAUGGACAAGCUACCUUUAUCAGGUUUUGGGCUCAUUACCAUCUUGGAUGACAAGAGAGCAGGUACAGGCCACGAUGCCUGACAAGUUCAGGCUCUUUUGUCCUCAGCUGAGAGUCAUCAUAGACUGCACUGAGAUCCGCCGUGAAACCGCAGCUUCCCUCUGCUUACAGUGAGAAACUUUUUCAAGCUACAAAAAUCACACCACAUUUAAAGGACUCAUUGGUGUAGCUCCAUGUGGUGUUAUCACUAUUUGUUUCUACACUAUACACAGGCUCUAUUUCAGACAUAGAAAUAACAAAGAAAUCCCACCUUCUACAGCUACUCCAGCCAGGGGAUGAAGUAAUGGCUGACAAGGGUUUCCUGAUUGAUAAAAUGCUAUAAGAGGUGGGGGUAAAACUCAUCACCCCACCAUUAAACAAAUCAACCCAGCUCAGCAAACCAGACACUCAGAAGACCCAGGCCAUCGCCGUUUGAGGAUUCUUUAGUUUUAUUACUUUUGCAUGCUUCUUGUGAGGAGCUCAAAUGGGAUUGUGCUUACAGCCCCCUCCCAGUUUUAAUCAUUAUCUUUCUUCAUCAUAACAUUAAAAAAGACCAGUUCCACAUUGUUUUAAUGUUGAUUGUGAAUCAGUUUGUAAUUGUAUGUCUGUAGAAGCUUGCCUUCAAAGUUUCACUUAGUAAAUAGUAAAAAGUUUCACUUAGGAAACAUUACUUUAAGAUCAGAUAUAUUUAAAUAAACAAUAGAAAUGAAAAUAUUUUUGACUGCUUCUGUUAUACGCAUCUGAAAUUACUUUUGUUUAGGUAACACUUUAUUGGUGCAUAAGAUUUACAUGAUACUAACAUAAACAGGGGCUGCACACACGCGCA